RNAcentral lists this unclassified non-coding RNA (391 nucleotides) under soil metagenome. Its description in RNAcentral is "partial contains 5.8S ribosomal RNA, internal transcribed spacer 2, and large subunit ribosomal RNA". The stretch from base 1 to 122 matches the Rfam family "5.8S ribosomal RNA", at positions 35 to 154 of the family's 154-position model. The record is from RNAcentral.
GAUGAAGAACGCAGCGAAAUGCGAUACUUGGUGUGAAUUGCAGAAUCCCGUGAACCAUCGAGUCUUUGAACGCAAGUUGCGCCCGAAGCCAUUAGGCCGAGGGCACGCCUGCCUGGGCGUCACACGUCGUUGCCCCCCCAUCUACUCCUUCGGGAUUGCGGGGGGCGGAUGAUGGCCUCCCGUGCGCCUCGUCGCGCGGUUGGCAUAAAUGCCAAGCCCUCGGCGACGCACGCCACGACAAUCGGUGGUUGCGAAACCUCGGUUGCCCGUCGUGUGCGGUCGUCGCGCAUCGAGGGCUCGAAAAAAUUGCCGGGCUCCGGCUCGGCUUUCAACGCGACCCCAGGUCAGGCGGGGUUACCCGCUGAAUUUAAGCAUAUCAAUAAGCGGAGGA